CCUACGGGAGGCAGCAGUGAGGAAUAUUGGACAAUGGGCGCAAGCCUGAUCCAGCCAUGCCGCGUGCAGGAUGACGGUCCUAUGGAUUGUAAACUGCUUUUGUACAGGAAGAAACAGUUCUACGUGUAGAACCUUGACGGUACUGUAAGAAUAAGGAUCGGCUAACUUCGUGCCAGCAGCCGCGGUAAU
Molecule: ribosomal RNA, 189 nt
Filed under: uncultured bacterium
Lineage: Bacteria
Description: partial 16S ribosomal RNA
Rfam family: Bacterial small subunit ribosomal RNA
Source: RNAcentral